Molecule: long non-coding RNA, 1224 nt
Filed under: Equus asinus (donkey)
Lineage: Eukaryota; Metazoa; Chordata; Mammalia; Perissodactyla; Equidae
Description: lncRNA (ENSEASG00005027022.1)
Source: RNAcentral
GUUCAGCCUUCCUGUAUCCAUCAGACCAUCGAGAUGGACGUUCUGUGGGACCCCCAAGAAGCAACCCUCCCUGGACUAGACAGAGUCUGUGCAGACACAGCGGGUUCUCAGCGUGGAGCCUCGCCGCCUUCGUGGUUUGUUGGAAGACCUGGAGGAUGGUAAAAGAUCUGUCACCCACCCUAUCUGCCACGCCGCCCAGCUGGUCUCCCUGUUGCUAACCUCGCCCCUCCUCCAAAGCCCUGUCUACCCCGCUGCCAGAGGAUCAUCCUAUCACCAGAUCGGGUCGCUUUCUGCUAAAAUACUUCAGGGGCCCCCCGGCUCUGGCCAGCCCUGCAUCCCUGCAACAGGAUCCUGCUACCAACGCACACACUCGCACCCGUGGCCUUGCCUGGAUUCCCUUUCCUCCUGAGCUCAAUCCUGGCUUUCUUCAGACUUCAUGGGAGUGUAAUUUCUUCCCAGAAGCCUUUCUGGGCCCCUCUUCUCACCUACAAUUUCCCUCUCUCUUAGAGGGCACUUCUCACCCCAGGCUCUCGUCGCUGGUUUACUGGGCCAUGAGCUCCUCAAGGGUAGAGACACAAAUCGAUGGAACUUCCAGCCUCGAGAGCUGUGAGAGAGUACACUUCUGUUGCUUAAGUCCCCCCGGCUAUGACACUUUGUUCUGGCAGCCUGAACAGACUAAGAUCCAGCCCUGGCAAUAUGUUUUCUCCAAGGCCAGGACAAUUGUGAGGAGGCCCUGAAAUAAGAAUGAAUGACCCUGCCUGCUCAGGAAGACCUGAUUUGUCGGGACUUCAGCCCGUCUUCAGAUCUCCACAGAAUCUGUGUGCUGGGGACCUCUCGUGGCAACUCUGUGUCCUCGCCCUCUCAGCAGCAAGAAAACACAAACGCGUGGACUCAGAAGAGAAGUGGUCAUUGUUAUUUGGGGGAAUAAGUACAAACAUUGAAAGUUAAAAAUGUAGAAAUACAGAUGAUCAGUAAACAUCUAAAAUUUGUUCAACAUCUCCAGUAACUAAAGAAACUUAAAUCGUGUGUGUGUGCGUGCCUGUGCAUGUGUGUAUAGUACAGAAUUUUAAUGAGAGUUGUACCCAGUGUUGGGAUGAUGGAAAUAGGCAUUAGGCAUUCCCCUAGGCUUGGUGGGAGCGUGCAUUGACGCAAUUAGCACAACCAGUUUUUGGAGAGAAAUUAGGCCUUAAAUUUUCUUUAAAAUGUUCACAUUCCCUCACUCAG